Molecule: ribosomal RNA, 869 nt
Filed under: Parmelina tiliacea
Lineage: Eukaryota; Fungi; Ascomycota; Lecanoromycetes; Lecanorales; Parmeliaceae
Description: LSU rRNA
Rfam family: Bacterial large subunit ribosomal RNA
Source: RNAcentral
AAUCACAAGGUACAGAAUUGUGAUCUCAUGCAAAUAGUACUCAUUUUCCUGUUAACCUAGGAAAACGAGUGCUUUUUGUGGACAUUGGGGGGUCGUGAAGACUCUAUCAGUGAGUAUUUGUUCUCGGAAGGUCUAGAUAUGAAUAUUGAAUAGUCAGACAUAGUACGAUAAGGUUGUAUGUCUAAAGGGAAACAGCCCAGAACAAGAGUUAAUAAGGUUCCAAAAUUAUUGUUAAGUGAAAUUAAGGCAGUAUUUAUUCCAAACAGCCAGGCAAUAGGCUUAGAAGCGGCCAUUUUCUGAAGACCUCGUAACAGAGCACUGGUUUUGUUUUAAGGAUAAAAGCACCGAAAAUUUAACGGAUCUAAACAAUAUACCGAUACCUUGUCUAAAUAUAUUAAUGUAUUUAUAUAAUACAUUGUAUAUUUGGGGUAGCAGAACAUUGGGGAAGUUUAUGAUUAUGCCUUUAUAAGGCAUAAUUUUUUUUUAUAUUUAACAAGCCAAGCGAUAAUGCUGACAUGAGUAACGAUAAAGGGGAAUACCCUCGCCUAAAGCUUAUGGAAUUUAAUUAAAGUUACGGCCUCUAAGUUUAUUAUAUCAGCGAAGCAGAUAAUAAAUAAUCAGUUAUUUAUCAGCGAAGCAGAUAAUCCCAAAAGGGGUAAACGAUGAGCAAAUCUAAGAUUUACAAAAAAUAACAUUUUCAUGUUUCGCAACAUAGUGACAAAUGUUCUGGAAACCUGUAGAUCUCGUUUGCUAAAUAGUAAUAAACUAAAUUAGAUGAUACGUUUAGCAAAUGUUAUACCGUACCUAAAUACUACCACAAGUAAGCAAGUAGAGUAUACGAAGGCGUUCGAGUGAACAAUCAUUAAGGA